Molecule: ribosomal RNA, 332 nt
Filed under: uncultured bacterium
Lineage: Bacteria
Description: bacterial SSU rRNA
Rfam family: Bacterial small subunit ribosomal RNA
Source: RNAcentral
CGCGUAGGCGGUGCGGUAAGUCUGGUGUGAAACCUCCAGGCUCAACUUGGAGCUUGCAUCAGAAACUGCCGUGCUAGAGUGCGGGAGAGGAGAGUGGAAUUCCCGGUGUAGCGGUGAAAUGCGUAGAUAUCGGGAGGAACAUCGGUGGCGAAGGCGGCUCUCUGGACCGCAACUGACGCUGAGGCGCGAAAGCUAGGGGAGCAAACAGGAUUAGAUACCCUGGUAGUCCACGCCCUAAACGAUGGACACUAGGCGUCGGGGGGAGCGACCCUCCCGGUGCCGUCGCUAACGCAAUAAGUGUCCCGCCUGGGGAGUACGGCCGCAAGGCUGAA